AUAGUUUGAUGCUGGCUCAGAAUGAACGCUGGCGGCAUGGAUUAGGCAUGCAAGUUGAACGGUAACAGAGGUGCUUGCACCUGCUGACGAGUAGCGGAAGGGUGAGAAACCCGUGAGCAACCUGCCUUAAAGUCGGGGAUAGCCCUUGGAAACGAGGAUUAAUACCGGAUGUGGUUAUUAGAUCGCAUGGUCUUUUAACUAAAAUCUUUUUGCUUUAAGAUGGGCUCGCGUAUCAUCAGCUAGUUGGUAAGGUAACGGCUCACCAAGGCUUUGACGAUUAGGUGGUCUGAGAGGACGAUCACCCACACUGGGACUGAGACACUGCCCAGACUCCUACGGGAGGCUGCAGUCGAGAAUCUUCCGCAAUGCGCGAAAGCGUGACGGAGCGAUGCCGCGUGCAGGAUGACGGCCUUCGGGUUGUAAACUGCUGUCACUCGGGACGAAUUUUGACGGUACCGAGAGAGGAAGCCACGGCUAACUACGUGCCAGCAGCCGCGGUAAUACGUAGGUGGCAAGCGUUAUUCGGAUUUAUUGGGCGUAAAGGGUUCGUAGGCGGUCAAGUAAGUUUGAAGUGAAAUCUCUAGGCUCAACCUAGAAACUGCUUUGGAUACUGCUCGACUAGAGUACUGGAGAGGUGAGCGGAAUUCCUGGUGUAGCGGUGGAAUGCGUAGAUAUCAGGAGGAACACCGACGGCGAAGGCAGCUUACUGGACAGUAACUGACGCUGAGGAACGAAAGCUAGGGUAGCAAACAGGAUUAGAUACCCUGGUAGUCCCAGCUGUAAACGUUGUAUACUAGAUGUGAGCGGAUUGGUCCCGUUCG
This 821-nucleotide ribosomal RNA is filed under the name uncultured Verrucomicrobiota bacterium. RNAcentral describes it as "bacterial SSU rRNA". It matches the Rfam family "Bacterial small subunit ribosomal RNA", at positions 8 to 843 of the family's 1533-position model. Lineage: Bacteria; Pseudomonadati; Verrucomicrobiota. The record is from RNAcentral.